UUUGAGUUUAUUGACACUUGGCAUGAGUUUGACAUGGCCGUCACCGAUAUUAGUAAAGUUGAGGAAUCCAAAUGAAAACCCGAUCACUACGUCACUAGAUAACAAUCAAAUAUCUUGGAUUGUGUCAGUAUCGUUCUUGGCGUCAGUAUUCACGACUAUUUUAAUGGGUUUCAUUGUAAAUCGAUUCGGGAAGAAGCAGUGGCUAGUAUUCGCUUAUUUGCCAAGAAUUACAUCUGGUUUCAUUUAUGUCUUCGCUACCAGUUAUUGGAUGAUUAUAAUAGGACGGAUUUUAAAUGGAAUAUCUGAUGUUUUAAUUUUAAACAGUGUUGCGUCCUAUUCAGCCGAAAUAGCAAGCAAAGAAAUAAGAGGUUCUCUUGGAACACUACCACAAGUUCUAUCUUCAUUAGGAAUGUUGAUAUCGCUAAGUUUGGGACCUUAUGUGUCGUAUUUUGUUUUGAAUGUCUCAUUUACAAGUAUUGUGAUUUUAACUUUCAUACCGAUAUUACUUUUACCUGAAAGUCCACAUUUUCUAUAUUCAAAAGGUGAGUUUUUGUAACCGUGUUCCACUGACAUACUUGUGUUAAGACAUAUAGAGUUAUCUUUUG
This is a long non-coding RNA of Papilio machaon (common yellow swallowtail), 605 nucleotides long. RefSeq lists it as uncharacterized. Lineage: Eukaryota; Metazoa; Arthropoda; Insecta; Lepidoptera; Papilionidae. The record is from RefSeq and is a predicted model, not a curated record. The transcript has 3 exons.